GACGGGCCCCGCACAAGCAGCGGAGCGUGUGGUUUAAUUCGAUGCUACACGAAGAACCUUACCAGGGUUUGACAUGCAAGUGGUAGGAAGCCGAAAGGUGACCGACCCUUCGGGGAGCUUGCACAGGUGCUGCAUGGCUGUCGUCAGCUCGUGUCGUGAGAUGUUCGGUUAAGUCCGCUAACGAGCGCAACCCUCGCUGUGUGUUAUAUGUGUCACACGGGACUGCCGGUCUUAAGCCGGAGGAAGGUGGGGAUGAUGUCAAGUCAGCAUGGCCUUUAUAUCCUGGGCUACACACACGCUACAAUGGCCAACACAAUAGGUUGCUAAGCCGCGAGGUGGCGCCAAUCCAUAAAGUUGGUCUCAGUUCAGAUUGUAGGCUGCAACCCGCCUGCAUGAAGAUGGAGUUGCUAGUAACCGCAGGUCAGCUAUACUGCGGUGAAUACGUUCCCGGGGCUU
RNAcentral lists this ribosomal RNA (456 nucleotides) under uncultured Leptolinea sp. Its description in RNAcentral is "bacterial SSU rRNA". It matches the Rfam family "Bacterial small subunit ribosomal RNA", at positions 916 to 1381 of the family's 1533-position model. The record is from RNAcentral. Lineage: Bacteria; Bacillati; Chloroflexota; Anaerolineae; Anaerolineales; Anaerolineaceae.